UACGGGGGGGGCAAGCGUUGUUCGGAAUUACUGGGCGUAAAGGGCUCGUAGGCGGCCAACUAAGUCAGACGUGAAAUCCCUCGGCUUAACCGGGGAACUGCGUCUGAUACUGGAUGGCUUGAGUUUGGGAGAGGGAUGCGGAAUUCCAGGUGUAGCGGUGAAAUGCGUAGAGAUGUGGAGGAACACCGAUGGCGAAGGCAGCCCCCUGGGUCAAGAUUGACGCUCAUGCACGAAAGCGUGGGGAGCAAACAGG
This 253-nucleotide ribosomal RNA is filed under the name uncultured bacterium. RNAcentral describes it as "partial 16S ribosomal RNA". It matches the Rfam family "Bacterial small subunit ribosomal RNA", at positions 524 to 776 of the family's 1533-position model. The record is from RNAcentral.